AACGAACGUUGGCGGUGUGGAUUAGGCAUGCAAGUCGAACGAAUGCUACUCGUGUAGUAAUACAUGGGUAGAGGAAGUGGCGAAAGGGGCAGUAAUGCAUGGAUAACCUACCUUGGGGUUGGGCAUAGCCGUUCUAACGGACGGGUAAUUCCCAGAGAUUCAGCGGGGCGGCAUCGUUCUGCUGGGAAAGAAUUUCGCCUCGAGAGGGGUCCAUGUGCUAUUAGCUAGUUGGUGAGGUAACGGCUCACCAAGGCUAAGAUGGCUAGCGGGUGUGAGAGCACGACCCGCGCCACUGGCACUGAGACACUGGCCAGACACCUACGGGUGGCUGCAGUCGAGGAUCUUCGUCAAUGGGCGCAAGCCUGAACGAGCGACACCGCGUGCGCGAUGAAGGCCUUCGGGUUGUAAAGCGCGAAAGUGGAAAGAAAGGGAAACUUGAUCGAUCCACAGUAAGGACGGGCUAAGUUCGUGCCAGCAGCCGCCGUAAAAC
This 490-nucleotide ribosomal RNA is filed under the name uncultured bacterium. RNAcentral describes it as "bacterial SSU rRNA". It matches the Rfam family "Bacterial small subunit ribosomal RNA", at positions 29 to 526 of the family's 1533-position model. The record is from RNAcentral.